Homo sapiens (human) is the source of this 565-nucleotide long non-coding RNA. Ensembl annotates it as long intergenic non-protein coding RNA 683. Lineage: Eukaryota; Metazoa; Chordata; Mammalia; Primates; Hominidae. The record is from Ensembl.
GGUAGAUUCCGGGCAGGUGUGUCCUGGGCAGGGGAGUUCUGGGCAGGUGACAGAAACUCCAUUUGCACCAGCUUACAUUAAAAAAAGAGGAGGGAGAAUAUGGUCGAGUGACCCCAGGAGUGAUAGGGAGCACUGACGGAGUUUCUCCCUGCUCUGGAUAGCAGAUCCGCUGGCUCCCAGCUUAUGAUCCAUGAAGAGAACGUCUUCCCCUUGGGCUUCAAUUUGAAGAAUCCUGAAGACGACCCUGAUGGCCUUUCGCGGUCCACGUGCCCCUUCUUGCACUACCGUGAUGGUCCUAUCCACGGACGCCUUCUCUUGGGUUCUGUGGUUGGAUGCGGAGGAAUCAUCGAUCCUCUGUAGUGGAAGGGAAGGGAGGACACACCAAGACCAUGUGGCCCCAAGAGCCGUGAGAGGAGCAGAAGCCUGACUGGUGCCUCUUACAUGUCACUGCAGCCUCGGGGGGGGCCACCAGGAAAACACCUGACAUCCUGUUCUCUAGUAAUGGUGUGGCUGGAAUCAUUCCUGUACCAAAUAAUUCACCCAUUUAAAGUGUGCAAUCCAACAA